UACGGAGGGUGCAAGCGUUAUCCGGAUUUACUGGGUUUAAAGGGUGCGUAGGCGGAUAGGUAAGUCAGGGGUGAAAUCUUCGAGCUUAACUCGGAAACUGCCUUUGAUACUAUCUAUCUUGAAUAUUGUGGAGGUAAGCGGAAUAUGUCAUGUAGCGGUGAAAUGCGUAGAUAUCUGGAGGAACACCGGUGGCGAAGGCGGCAUCCUGGACCGGCAUUGACGCUGAGGCGCGAAAGCUAGGGGAGCAAACGGG
This 253-nucleotide ribosomal RNA is filed under the name uncultured bacterium. Its description in RNAcentral is "partial 16S ribosomal RNA". It matches the Rfam family "Bacterial small subunit ribosomal RNA", at positions 524 to 776 of the family's 1533-position model. The record is from RNAcentral.